This is a long non-coding RNA of Lolium rigidum, 733 nucleotides long. RefSeq lists it as uncharacterized. The transcript has 3 exons. Lineage: Eukaryota; Viridiplantae; Streptophyta; Magnoliopsida; Poales; Poaceae. The record is from RefSeq and is a predicted model, not a curated record.
CACCAUCCAGUUGUAAUUAAGCACCUGCAUAGAUAACUUCUCGCCAUUGUCAAAAAAUCUAGUUUAUUUACUAUCGCUAGCCCACCUACAAUUACCACAACUACCCUAAUUUUGCAUAUAAAUAAUUUAUGCAUCCAGUUUCACACACCUCUAUUUACUAGCUAUGCGAGAUUAUUUUCAUACCUCUCAAAAUUACUGGAAGUUCUUGCAGAAAUGUGAGUGUUGCACAUUGUAUAUUUGUUGUCAAUUAUCUCUCAAGUAAACAUAACUUUUAAUCGAUCCACAAUUUUCAUUUCGUCAGGUCAUGGAUCAUACAUGAGUACCCUAGAUUAGUAGACAUUCUUGGAAUUGUUAUCAGGAACUGUUAAUUGGAACCACCCAAUGGAUCACAAGCUUUUCUCUUGUAUAAUCAGGCGAAUAAUGCAGAUCAACAUCACAGAAUGCAUCAUGGCAUGGAUUUCUCAUUGGAGCUGUCAUCUUGAACCAUAAUUUGCGGUAGAUGUGGUGGAAGUAAUGAAUUACUCAAAUAUUGCAUCUAUCCCAAACCAAUUUGUCAAACAGGGGUUUACCGUAAACUCUUGCUGGCUGAUAAUAUUGAUAACCACGGAUGAAUGAUAUUACACAAAGAAUGAUGAUGCAAGGGAGCGCAUCCAGUUUUGCUGAAGAUCGCCUCCACGCGGCUAACAUUGAACUUACCAUGUUGGAUUAGGCAAUGCUGCCACUCUUGUGUAGA